RNAcentral lists this unclassified non-coding RNA (744 nucleotides) under Zea mays. Its description in RNAcentral is "misc RNA Zm00001eb026850". The record is from RNAcentral. Lineage: Eukaryota; Viridiplantae; Streptophyta; Magnoliopsida; Poales; Poaceae.
CAGUGUACAGCGCUAAAAAUCAGAAUCCCAAAAAUAUCUACAAAAUUCUUUAAAGAAAUUAAAAAAAGAAAGAAAAUGUCCCACAGCCGAUCUCUAUCCCUAUCGCCGCUCUUCAUCCCUGAUAUUUCUUCUUCACCGGCUGCCUUAUCUCCCACGCGGUGCAGGCUUCUCUAGCCGCUCCUCCACUUUCUCCCCUCAGCGCUCGGUGCCCAAGGCUCCAGUGCCGCGGCGCCCCUGCUCGGAGGUCCCUGGUGUCGCGCCCCUCUCUGCUCGGAUCUCCCUGGUGCUCCAGUUCGGGAGCUCGGCCGCUCUUUCCUCUCUACUGCUCGCUGAUUCCCUUUUCCCCAAGCUCUUGUUCCUCUGCUCCUCUUCCCCUGCGCGCUGUGGUCUCCCUCCUCCAAGCUCCCAUGGCGCCCGGCUCUGCUCACCCAUGCCGCGGCGAUCCACCGCGCGCUCCUCCUUCCUCCUCCUCGUCGCGCUCUGCUGCCCAGCUACCUGAUGCGCGCGCGGUUCUCUGCUCCCCUGCACGCAGACUUCUUCUGCUAGCUCGCCCCAACGCCGGCUCGGCCUCUCCUAUGGCGCCCGGCGCUUCUAUCGAGCUCCCCUUCCUCCCCAGCCGCGCGUUCCUUGAGCUCCAGCUCGCUGCGCGCGCCUGCUGCUCGGCGCACCCUACCGAGGUCUCUUCCCCGUGCUUCUUCCUCUCUGCUCGCAGCGCCCGGCCUGUUCUCCUGCGUGGCGCUCCUG